GGGGGUGUUCUGGAUUCUACCCUUGGUUGGAGUGCGCCGCUGCCUGUCGAGUGUCGUAAGGUCACUCGUUAAUCCCCCUUCGAACCAAUAAGAGGCAACUACGAAGAAAUGCCCAUGGCGGCCUAAUUAGGCUGCUACGUUGGUCCGGCGACACCUGCUAGCCGUGACCGACGUCGACAGCAGGUAUAGCGCGCGGAGCGGUCCGCGGACUGCGCGCCGUAUCUUCAUCCGGGGAAUAGCUGGGGCCUUAGCGCGUGUGACGGCUUGGUCCUGGCGAAAUUAAAGUCACGCUAAACAUGGUAGACGCGGUGUGCGAAGGUCAGGGGCACGCGGGUUCAACUCCCGCCACCUCCACCA
Molecule: non-coding RNA, 357 nt
Organism: Opitutus terrae PB90-1
Lineage: Bacteria; Pseudomonadati; Verrucomicrobiota; Opitutia; Opitutales; Opitutaceae
Rfam family: transfer-messenger RNA
About the family: Bacterial tmRNA, also known as 10Sa RNA or SsrA, is named for its dual tRNA and mRNA-like properties.
Source: Rfam